Molecule: ribosomal RNA, 443 nt
Filed under: uncultured bacterium
Lineage: Bacteria
Description: partial 16S ribosomal RNA
Rfam family: Bacterial small subunit ribosomal RNA
Source: RNAcentral
CCUACGGGUGGCAGCAGUGGGGAAUAUUGGGCAAUGGGCGAAAGCCUGAACCAGCAACGCCGCGUGAAGGAAGAAGGCUUUAGGGUUGUUAACUUCUUUUGUCAGGGACGUAGCAAGUGACGGUACCUGACGAAUAAGCCUAGGCUAACUACGUGCCAGCAGCCGCGGUAAUCCGUAGGUGGCAAGCGUUAUCCGGAUUUACUGGGUGUAAAGGGCGUGUAGGCGGGGAAGCAAGUCAGAUGUGAAAACCACGGGCUCAACCUUAGGCCUGCAUUGGAAACUGGUUUUCUUGAGUGCUGUAGAGGCGAGCGGAAUUCCGGGUGUAGCGGUGAAAUGCGUAGAUAUACGGAGGAACACCAGUGGCGAAGGCGGAUUGCUGGACAGUAACUGACGCUGAGGCGCGAAAGCGUGGGGAGCAAACAGGAUUAGAUACCCCGGUAGUC